GAAACUCUAGCUUAAUUAAAGCAUCUGAGUUGCAUUCAGGAAAUGCAGGGUAAUGUCCUGCGAGUUUUA
This 69-nucleotide transfer RNA is filed under the name Ptilorrhoa caerulescens (blue jewel-babbler). RNAcentral describes it as "tRNA-Ala". It matches the Rfam family "tRNA". From Rfam's summary of the family: Transfer RNA (tRNA) molecules are approximately 80 nucleotides in length. The record is from RNAcentral. Lineage: Eukaryota; Metazoa; Chordata; Aves; Passeriformes; Cinclosomatidae.